AGGACGAACGCUGGCGGCGUGCUUAACACAUGCAAGUCGAGCGAGGCCCUUCCUUCGGGAAGGAGCCCUAGCGGCGAACGGGUGAGUAACACGUGGGCAACCUGCCCCUAGCACUGGGAUAACUCCGGGAAACCGGGGCUAAUACCGGAUAUGACCUUUGAGGGCACCCUCUUUGGUGUAAAGGAUUCUGGCUAGGGAUGGGCCCGCGGCCUAUCAGCUUGUUGGUGGGGUAAAGGCCUACCGAAGGCGACGACGGGUAG
Molecule: ribosomal RNA, 260 nt
Filed under: uncultured bacterium
Lineage: Bacteria
Description: partial small subunit ribosomal RNA
Rfam family: Bacterial small subunit ribosomal RNA
Source: RNAcentral